UUAAUAAAUUAUAAAUUUAUUAAUAUAAGUAUAUAUACAUAUUUAUUUAUAAAAGUAAUUUUUUGUUUAAGUAUAAUUUAGAAUUAAUUUAUUUUUUUAUAGAGUAAUAGUACUGAAAAGGAAAUAGUUUAAUUAAUUUUUAAGUAAAUUUAUUAUUGUACCUUUUGUAUCAGGGUAAAUUUAUUAAUUAUAAUCUAUUUUAAUUUCCCGAAUGUAAAUGAUUUAAUAAUUAAUGUUAGUUAGUGUUGUAUAUUUAUUAAUAAUUAAUUAUUAGUAGUGAAAUAUUAAUCGUAUUUACUGAUAUCUGGUUACUUAAGAUUAAAUUUAAUUUUUCAUUAUUUUAGUUUUAAUUAUAAUUAUAUUUAACUAAAUUUUUUUAAUGUUAUAUAAAUGGGGAUAAUCUUAUUUAUAAAUAAUAAUUUUUUUUUCAAAAUAAUUUUUGUAGGCUUAAAAUUAGCUUCCAUUUAAAUUCGUAAUUGUUUAUUUUAAUUUAAUUUAAAUUUAAUUAAAUUUUAUUUUUUAUUAAGUUUUAUUUUUUAAUUUUAAUAUUUAUUAAUAAUGAUUUAAUUAGUAUAAUUUUUAGUAAAUUUAUAAGAACUCGGCAAAAUUAUUUUCACCUGUUUACCAAAAACAUGUUUUUUAGAAUUUAUUUUAAAGAUUUAAUCUGCCCAAUGAUUAAUUUUAAUGGCCGCAGUAUUUUGACUGUGCAAAGGUAGCAUAAUAAUUAGUCUUUUAAUUGGAGUCUGGAAUGAAUGAUUGGAUGAGAAAUAAACUUUUUUUAAUAUUAUAUUAUAAUUUAAUUUUUAAGUGAAAAAGCUUAAAUUUUUCUAUGGGACGAUAAGACCCUAUAGAACUUUAAAUUUAUUUAUUAUAUAUAUAUAUUAUUUUGUAGUAAAAAAAAUUAUAAUUAAAUAAAAUUUUUUAUUGGGGUGAUAGAAUAAUACUUAAAACUUUUUCUUAUCUUUUCAUAAAUUUAUGUGUUAUUGAUCUUAUUAUAUUGAUUAAAAGAUUUAGUUACCUUAGGGAUAACAGCGUAAUUCUAUUGGAGAGUUCAAAUUAAUAAUAGAGUUUGCGACCUCGAUGUUGGAUUAAGAAAAACCAAAGGGGUAGAUUUUUUUGUUUUAGGUCUGUUCGACCUUUAAAUUCUUACAUGAUCUGAGUUCAAACCGGUGUAAGCCAGGUUGGUUUCUAUCUUUAGAUAAUAAAAAUUUAUUUUAGUACGAAAGGACCAUAUUUAAAUAUUUAAAAAAAUUAAUUUUGAAAUUUAUU
Molecule: ribosomal RNA, 1269 nt
Filed under: Aphrophora sp. EMHAU-2015-Zz062722
Lineage: Eukaryota; Metazoa; Arthropoda; Insecta; Hemiptera; Aphrophoridae
Description: 16S ribosomal RNA
Rfam family: Archaeal large subunit ribosomal RNA (bases 1025-1183)
Source: RNAcentral